RNAcentral lists this ribosomal RNA (253 nucleotides) under uncultured bacterium. Its description in RNAcentral is "partial 16S ribosomal RNA". It matches the Rfam family "Bacterial small subunit ribosomal RNA", at positions 524 to 776 of the family's 1533-position model. The record is from RNAcentral.
GACGUAGGGGGCGAGCGUUGUCCGGAUUUAUUGGGCGUAAAGCGUGCGUAGGCGGCUGCGCAAGUCGGGUGUGAAACCCCGGGGCUCAACCCCGGAACUGCAUCCGAUACUGCGUGGCUAGAGGUAGGUAGGGGAGAUCGGAAUUCCUGGUGUAGCGGUGAAAUGCGCAGAUAUCGGGAAGAACACCCGUGGCGAAGGCGGCUCUCUGGGACGGUACUGACGCUGAGACGCGAAAGCGUGGGGAGCGAACAGG